RNAcentral lists this ribosomal RNA (682 nucleotides) under Microbacterium sp. RNAcentral's name for it is "bacterial SSU rRNA". It matches the Rfam family "Bacterial small subunit ribosomal RNA", at positions 64 to 758 of the family's 1533-position model. Lineage: Bacteria; Bacillati; Actinomycetota; Actinomycetes; Micrococcales; Microbacteriaceae. The record is from RNAcentral.
GAACGAUGAAGCCCAGCUUGCUGGGUGGAUUAGUGGCGAACGGGUGAGUAACACGUGAGCAACCUGCCCCUGACUCUGGGAUAAGCGCUGGAAACGGCGUCUAAUACUGGAUAUGUCCCGUCACCGCAUGGUGUGCGGGUGGAAAGAUUUUUCGGUUGGGGAUGGGCUCGCGGCCUAUCAGCUUGUUGGUGAGGUAAUGGCUCACCAAGGCGUCGACGGGUAGCCGGCCUGAGAGGGUGACCGGCCACACUGGGACUGAGACACGGCCCAGACUCCUACGGGAGGCAGCAGUGGGGAAUAUUGCACAAUGGGCGGAAGCCUGAUGCAGCAACGCCGCGUGAGGGAUGACGGCCUUCGGGUUGUAAACCUCUUUUAGCAGGGAAGAAGCGAGAGUGACGGUACCUGCAGAAAAAGCACCGGCUAACUACGUGCCAGCAGCCGCGGUAAUACGUAGGGUGCAAGCGUUAUCCGGAAUUAUUGGGCGUAAAGAGCUCGUAGGCGGUCUGUCGCGUCUGCUGUGAAAUCCCGAGGCUCAACCUCGGGCUUGCAGUGGGUACGGGCAGACUAGAGUGCGGUAGGGGAGAUUGGAAUUCCUGGUGUAGCGGUGGAAUGCGCAGAUAUCAGGAGGAACACCGAUGGCGAAGGCAGAUCUCUGGGCCGUAACUGACGCUGAGGAGCGAAA